GAUGAACGCUGGCGGCAUGCCUAACACAUGCAAGUCGGACGGGAAGUGGUGUUUCCAGUGCCGAACGGGUGAGUAACGCGUAAGAACCUGCCCUUGGGAGGGGAACAACAGCUGGAAACGGUGGCUAAUACCCCGUAGGCCUAGGGGCAAAAGGAGGAAUCCGCCUGAAGGGGGGCUCGCGUCUGAUUAUCUUGUUGGGGAGGGAUAAGCUUACAAAGGCGAUGAGCAGGAUCUGGUCCGAGAGGGUGAGCACCCACACAGGGAGUGAGACACGGCGCAGAGACUCCUGCGAGGCGGAGGAGUGGAGAAUACUGCAAUGUGCGAGAGAGUGAGGGAGAGAUGCGCCGUGGAGGUGGUGGGGGUAUGGGUGGUGAAAUUCUUUUCUACGAGAAGAAGUAAUGACGGUACCUGGGGAAUAAGCACCGGCUAACUCCGUG
Molecule: ribosomal RNA, 437 nt
Filed under: uncultured bacterium
Lineage: Bacteria
Description: partial 16S ribosomal RNA
Rfam family: Bacterial small subunit ribosomal RNA
Source: RNAcentral